AAACUGUACAGCAUGACUGAUUCGGAGACAGCCCUCAACACUCGCCCAGUCGUGUCGAGAGGAUCGGUGUCUUUGUAGAUUACACGGAAUCGAGCACCCGGGCCAGACUGACACUUUCCGGAGCCUGUCCGAGACGGAACUCGAGCCUAGGAAUCAUAGGUCCAGGUCCGGCUGAAGUGACAGGCCAUCAAAACUGUACAGCAUGACUGAUUCGGAGACAGCCCUCAACACUCGCCCAGUCGUGUCGAGAGGAUCGGUGUCUUUGUAGAUUACACGGAAUCGAGCACCCGGGCCAGACUGACACUUUCCGGAGCCUGUCCGAGACGGAACUCGAGCCUAGGAAUCAUAGGUCCAGGUCCGGCUGAAGUGACAGGCCAUCAAAACUGUACAGCAUGACUGAUUCGGAGACAGCCCUCAACACUCGCCCAGUCGUGUCGAGAGGAUCGGUGUCUUUGUAGAUUACACGGAAUCGAGCACCCGGGCCAGACUGACACUUUCCGGAGCCUGUCCGAGACGGAACUCGAGCCUAGGAAUCAUAGGUCCAGGUCCGGCUGAAGUGACAGGCCAUCAAAACUGUACAGCAUGACUGAUUCGGAGACAGCCCUCAACACUCGCCCAGUCGUGUCGAGAGGAUCGGUGUCUUUGUAGAUUACACGGAAUCGAGCACCCGGGCCAGACUGACACUUUCCGGAGCCUGUCCGAGACGGAACUCGAGCCUAGGAAUCAUAGGUCCAGGUCCGGCUGAAGUGACAGGCCAUCAAAACUGUACAGCAUGACUGAUUCGGAGACAGCCCUCAACACUCGCCCAGUCGUGUCGAGAGGAUCGGUGUCUUUGUAGAUUACACGGAAUCGAGCACCCGGGCCAGACUGACACUUUCCGGAGCCUGUCCGAGACGGAACUCGAGCCUAGGAAUCAUAGGUCCAGGUCCGGCUGAAGUGACAGGCCAUCAAAACUGUACAGCAUGACUGAUUCGGAGACAGCCCUCAACACUCGCCCAGUCGUGUCGAGAGGAUCGGUGUCUUUGUAGAUUACACGGAAUCGAGCACCCGGGCCAGACUGACACUUUCCGGAGCCUGUCCGAGACGGAACUCGAGCCUAGGAAUCAUAGGUCCAGGUCCGGCUGAAGUGACAGGCCAUCAAAACUGUACAGCAUGACUGAUUCGGAGACAGCCCUCAACACUCGCCCAGUCGUGUCGAGAGGAUCGGUGUCUUUGUAGAUUACACGGAAUCGAGCACCCGGGCCAGACUGACACUUUCCGGAGCCUGUCCGAGACGGAACUCGAGCCUAGGAAUCAUAGGUCCAGGUCCGGCUGAAGUGACAGGCCAUCAAAACUGUACAGCAUGACUGAUUCGGAGACAGCCCUCAACACUCGCCCAGUCGUGUCGAGAGGAUCGGUGUCUUUGUAGAUUACACGGAAUCGAGCACCCGGGCCAGACUGACACUUUCCGGAGCCUGUCCGAGACGGAACUCGAGCCUAGGAAUCAUAGGUCCAGGUGUGGCAAAAGACUUAAAGCUCAUGUCUGACGAUCACUUUUUUUGAGUCAGGAAUUCAAGUGUGUUGUUUUUCCACGCAAGCAAGCCCUUUUGUUGGGUGAAAUGACAUCAGAAAUUCUGCCUCUACAUGGAUUUUACCUAAAAUGUGCCAAAAAAAAAGAAAAAAGUUUGUUCGAAACCUGUUCAAAUCCUGCUUUGAUGCACAAAUAUUGCCAUUGAUGAUUUUUGUCACUUAUUUAGUCAUCUGUUACAUCAACUUUGCCUAUGAGAAUCGAAAGUGAUGACUUGUAUGAAGUCUAAGUGCUGCAUGUAUGAUGAAACCAAGUUUGGCUUUUCUACCAUAAUUCUUGACGCGAAACGCUGUUAUGCAUGACGCUUUCAACGGCAACUUUUAUGAAUAAAUCUGUGUGUCAUUGUA
This is a long non-coding RNA of Dreissena polymorpha, 1914 nucleotides long. RefSeq lists it as uncharacterized. The transcript has 16 exons. Lineage: Eukaryota; Metazoa; Mollusca; Bivalvia; Myida; Dreissenidae. The record is from RefSeq and is a predicted model, not a curated record.